GGGGAUAUAGCUCAGCUGGUAGAGCGCUUGCAUGGCAUGCAAGAGGUCAGCGGUUCGAUCCCGCUUAUCUCCA
Molecule: transfer RNA, 73 nt
Filed under: Betaproteobacteria bacterium
Lineage: Bacteria; Pseudomonadati; Pseudomonadota; Betaproteobacteria
Description: tRNA-Ala
Rfam family: tRNA
About the family: Transfer RNA (tRNA) molecules are approximately 80 nucleotides in length. Their secondary structure includes four short double-helical elements and three loops (D, anti-codon, and T loops).
Source: RNAcentral